This 403-nucleotide ribosomal RNA is filed under the name bacterium. RNAcentral describes it as "partial 16S ribosomal RNA". It matches the Rfam family "Bacterial small subunit ribosomal RNA", at positions 355 to 776 of the family's 1533-position model. The record is from RNAcentral.
UGUGGAAUAUUGCACAAUGGGGGAAACCCUGAUGCAGCGACGCCGCGUGAACGAAGAAGGUAUUCGUAUCGUAAAGUUCUGUCCUAUGGGAAGAUAAUGACAGUACCAUAGAAGAAAGCUCCGGCUAAAUACGUGCCAGCAGCCGCGGUAAUACGUAUGGAGCGAGCGUUGUCCGGAAUUAUUGGGCGUAAAGGGUACGCAGGCGGUUUAAUAAGUCGAAUGUUAAAGAUCGGGGCUCAACCCCGUAAAGCAUUGGAAACUGAUAAACUUGAGUAGUGGAGAGGAAAGUGGAAUUCCUAGUGUAGUGGUGAAAUACGUAGAUAUUAGGAGGAAUACCAGUAGCGAAGGCGACUUUCUGGACACAAACUGACGCUGAGGUACGAAAGCGUGGGGAGCAAACAGG